UGAUGCCUAUCUCCUCUUAUAGAUUGAGAAUCUCACCGGAAAUCUCAGCAAAACCACACCGAGUCACACACCAACCACGGCCUCUUCCAUCAACACCAGCCAAACUUCCUCCUUCUCUCUCAGCCAAGUGUCCAAUACAUCUAUCGCUGCCCGCCAGUUGCCUGGCCCUCCUCCUCAGUGUUCAGGCAAUCAGGUGAUGCUUGAGGGCAGCUCGGAUUGCGGCUGCCCAUCAGACAUGCUGAAGAAGGGAGAUAUCUGUACUUGCCCACUUGGCUUCAUUCUUGAAGGAGCAGCAGGAUGCAAAGACAUUGACGAGUGUGGAGAAGACGCACCGUGUGGUCCUCACGCAAACUGCACCAACAUCCUCGGCUCCUACUCGUGCCAAUGUCACCGUGGUUACUUGAAGGGCGCAGAGGGAUGCCAGGGUCCGUCCGCAGCGAUGAUGUUUACGUCGACGAGUGUGCUGUGGCCGCGGUGACGGGCCUGCGAGCCUGCAAUGACAACGCGCAGUGUAUAAACACACUUGGCUCCUUCGGCUGUUCCUGCCCGGUGGGAUACGUCAUGGCUCAGAAUGAACAAAACUGUGAA
Hippocampus zosterae (dwarf seahorse) is the source of this 588-nucleotide long non-coding RNA. RefSeq lists it as uncharacterized. Lineage: Eukaryota; Metazoa; Chordata; Actinopteri; Syngnathiformes; Syngnathidae. The transcript has 4 exons. The record is from RefSeq and is a predicted model, not a curated record.